Molecule: ribosomal RNA, 253 nt
Filed under: uncultured bacterium
Lineage: Bacteria
Description: partial 16S ribosomal RNA
Rfam family: Bacterial small subunit ribosomal RNA
Source: RNAcentral
UACAGAAGGUGCUAGCGUUGUUCGGAAUCAUUGGGCGUAAAGGGCGUGUAGGCGGUUUGUUAAGUCAUGUGUGAAAUCCCUCGGCUCAACCGGGGAACGACGCAUGAAACUGGCAAGCUAGAGUACCAAAGAGGGGGGUGGAAUUCCCGGUGUAGCGGUGAAAUGCGUAGAUAUCAGGAAGAACACCUAUGGCGAAGGCAGCUUCCUGGUCCAAUUCUGACGCUGAGGUGCGAAAGCGUGGGUAGCGAACGGG